GAGUGCUUCUGAUCUUAAUUUGACACUUUUGCUGAACACAACAGUUGUGGGUAUUACUUCUAUUAUUUAUUUGUAAGUCACUUAUCUUUUGAAAGACUAUCAAUCUUACAAAUAUUCACUUCUGUCCUAUAGUACUGUAUAAAGACAGGAGUCGGGUGUCUGAAAAUUCAAACUUCCUCCUGAUACAUACACAGAACUGUGCGUGGCGCAGUGCCAGCCGUGUGUCUCUCUGCACUCAAUUCUACCUUUCUUUAUCCUAUUUACACGCUUUUGCCCUAUUUACAUUUAAAAAAUUUGCGCUACUCGCUUUACACGCGCUAACCGUGCUUGGUCGCGUUACACGCUUAUCCUUUACCUCUAACCCAGAGGGUGAGCACAUCCGGGAUGUAGGCUAAAUUGUAGGUCAAGAGUAGGCUAACGAGCUCAGACACUACUUCGAUUAUCUACUUCAGUUGCUACGCGGAAGGGUCAACCAUGCUCACCCCCCGUUUAGGAACUCUGGUCUGUUACGCAGUCCGUACUAAUCUCCCUCCUCCCUCUAAACCUAAUGUUUAGGUAGUCAGGCCUUUUACAGUACCUACUAAUGCUUUUUCUUAUUUAAAACUGACAAUUCACAAAGGCCUUGUGGGUUUUUGUAUCACUAUCCACCAUCCACUCACACUUGCUGCUUCCUUCAAGAUCCAAGAUGACAGACAAAAACUAACUAAUCAAUAUUCUAAGCUAUGGACAAUUCAAUGAAAUAGGUUUGUCCUCACCUUAUUUUUCUCGCAGGCCUGCUUUUUGUCUGCCGCCAAAGAUCUCGAAGCCCCACUCUGAGCCUCGUGCUCCAGGUGAGGGUUUGGUUGGUCCACCUCUCCUCAGUUCAGCGUCGGUGUCACCAAUUUGUUAGGAAAAAUACUCUGCGUGUUGUUUCGGAGAGGAACCACCAUACGAAGCAAUUUGUUGUAACAAGGUUGAGUUUUACUGGUAGGUAACGACACAAAACAACUUGCUCAAUAGACAGUCAAGUACAGUCAAGCAAGCCGGAGAAUG
Long non-coding RNA from Clupea harengus (Atlantic herring), 1032 nucleotides. NCBI's taxonomy places the organism in Eukaryota, Metazoa, Chordata, Actinopteri, Clupeiformes, Clupeidae. The record is from Ensembl.